CCUACGGGAGGCAGCAGUGGGGAAUAUUGGGCAAUGGGCGCAAGCCUGACCCAGCAACGCCGCGUGCAGGAAGAAGGCUUUCGGGUUGUAAACUUCUUUUAAGGGGGAAGAGCAGAAGACGGUACCCCUUGAAUAAGCCACGGCUAACUACGUGCCAGCAGCCGCGGUAAUACGUAGGUGGCAAGCGGUGUUCGGAUUUACUGGGUGUAAAGGGCGUGCAGCCGGAGAGACAAGUCAGACGUGAAAUCCACGGGCACAACCCGUGAACUGCAUUUGAAACUGUUUCCCUUGAGUGUCGGAGAGGUAAUCGGAAUUCGUGGUGUAGCGGUGAAAUGCGUAGAUAUAAGGAAGAACACCAGUGGCGAAGGCGGAUUACUGGACGAUAACUGACGGUGAGGCGCGAAGGCGUGGGGAGCAAACAGGAUUAGAUACCCGAGUAGUC
Molecule: ribosomal RNA, 442 nt
Filed under: uncultured bacterium
Lineage: Bacteria
Description: partial 16S ribosomal RNA
Rfam family: Bacterial small subunit ribosomal RNA
Source: RNAcentral